GACGAACGCUGGCGGCGUGCCUAAUACAUGCAAGUCGAACGCAGUGGGGACGGGUGAGUAACAAGUGGGUAACCUGGCAUCAGAGGGGAGAACACUUGGAAACAGGUGCUAAACCGCUACUGAUGGAUGAACCCGCGGUGCAGUAGCUAGUUGGUGAGGUAACGGCUCACAAAGGCCACGAUGCAUAGACGACCGGAGAGGGUGAUCGGCCACACUGGGACUGAGACACGGCCCAGACUCCUACGGGAGGCAGCAGUAGGGAAUCUUCGGCAAUGGACGAAAGUCUGAUCGAGCAACGCCGCGUGAGUGAAGAAGGCUUUCGGAUCGUAAAACUCUUUUGUUAGAGAAGCGGUAUCUAACCAGAAAGCCACGGCUAACUACGUGCCAGCAGCCGCGGUAAUAC
This 403-nucleotide ribosomal RNA is filed under the name uncultured bacterium. RNAcentral describes it as "partial 16S ribosomal RNA". It matches the Rfam family "Bacterial small subunit ribosomal RNA", at positions 28 to 526 of the family's 1533-position model. The record is from RNAcentral.